GAAAAGAACCAACAGGGAUUGCCCCAGUAACGGCGAGUGAAGCGGCAACAGCUCAAAUUUGAAAUCUGGCCCCCAGGGCCCGAGUUGUAAUUUGUAGAGGAUGCUUUUGGCAAGGUGCCUUCCGAGUUCCCUGGAACGGGACGCCAUAGAGGGUGAGAGCCCCGUCUGGUCGGACACCGCGCCUCUGUAAAGCUCCUUCGACGAGUCGAGUAGUUUGGGAAUGCUGCUCAAAAUGGGAGGUAUAUGUCUUCUAAAGCUAAAUAUUGGCCAGAGACCGAUAGCGCACAAGUAGAGUGAUCGAAAGAUGAAAAGCACUUUGAAAAGAGGGUUAAAAAGUACGUGAAAUUGUUGAAAGGGAAGCGCCUAUGACCAGACUUGGGCCCGGUGAAUCAUCCAGCGUUCUCGCUGGUGCACUUUGCCGGGCACAGGCCAGCAUCAGUUUGGCGCGGGGGACAAAGGCGUUGGGAAUGUGGCUCCCCCGGGAGUGUUAUAGCCCAUCGCGCAAUACCCUGCGCCGGACUGAGGUACGCGCAUCGCAAGGAUGCUGGCGUAAUGGUCAUCAGCGACCCGUCUUGAAACACGGACCAAGGAGUCGUCUUCGUAUGCGAGUGUUCGGGUGUCAAACCCCUACGCGUAAUGAAAGUGAACGCAGGUGAGAGCUUCGGCGCAUCAUCGACCGAUCCUGAUGUUCUCGGAUGGAUUUGAGUAAGAGCAUACGGGGCCGGACCCGAAAGAAGGUGAACUAUGCCUGUAUAGGGUGAAGCCAGAGGAAACUCUGGUGGAGGCUCGCAGCGGUUCUGACGUGCGAAUCGAUCGUCAAAUAUGGGCAUGGGGGC
This 836-nucleotide ribosomal RNA is filed under the name Nuciformispora aranearum. RNAcentral describes it as "LSU rRNA". It matches the Rfam family "Eukaryotic large subunit ribosomal RNA", at positions 56 to 924 of the family's 3401-position model. Lineage: Eukaryota; Fungi; Ascomycota; Sordariomycetes; Hypocreales; Cordycipitaceae. The record is from RNAcentral.